RNAcentral lists this ribosomal RNA (434 nucleotides) under Culex quinquefasciatus (southern house mosquito). Its description in RNAcentral is "partial 16S ribosomal RNA". The stretch from base 307 to 434 matches the Rfam family "Bacterial large subunit ribosomal RNA", at positions 2473 to 2600 of the family's 2925-position model. Lineage: Eukaryota; Metazoa; Arthropoda; Insecta; Diptera; Culicidae. The record is from RNAcentral.
AGCAUAAUCACUAGUCUUUUAAUUGGAGGCUUGUAUGAAUGGUUGAAUGAGAUAUAUACUGUCUUUUUUAAAAUUAUAUAGAAUUUUAUUUUUUAAUUAAAAAGUUAAAAUAAAAUUAAAGGACGAGAAGACCCUAUAGAUCUUUAUUUUUGUUAUUUAUAAAUUAAAAAGAAUUUUAAAAUUUAUAAUUUAAUAAAAAAUUUUAUUGGGGUGAUAUUAAAAUUUAAAAAACUUUUAAAAUUUAUUAACAUAAAUAUAUGAAUAAAUGAUCCAGUUUUAUUGAUUAAAAAAUUAAGUUACCUUAGGGAUAACAGCGUAAUUUUUUUUUAGAGUUCAUAUCGACAAAAAAGAUUGCGACCUCGAUGUUGGAUUAAGAGUUAUUUUUAGGUGUAGAAGUUUAAAGUUUAGGUCUGUUCGACCUUUGAAUUCUUACA